RNAcentral lists this ribosomal RNA (253 nucleotides) under uncultured bacterium. RNAcentral's name for it is "partial 16S ribosomal RNA". It matches the Rfam family "Bacterial small subunit ribosomal RNA", at positions 524 to 776 of the family's 1533-position model. The record is from RNAcentral.
UACGUAGGGUGCAAGCGUUGUCCGGAAUUAUUGGGCGUAAAGAGCUCGUAGGCGGUUUGUCGCGUCUGCUGUGAAAACGCGAGGCUCAACCUCGCGCCUGCAGUGGGUACGGGCAGACUAGAGUGCGGUAGGGGAGAUUGGAAUUCCUGGUGUAGCGGUGGAAUGCGCAGAUAUCAGGAGGAACACCGAUGGCGAAGGCAGAUCUCUGGGCCGUUACUGACGCUGAGGAGCGAAAGCGUGGGGAGCAAACAGG